RNAcentral lists this ribosomal RNA (498 nucleotides) under uncultured bacterium. RNAcentral describes it as "partial 16S ribosomal RNA". It matches the Rfam family "Bacterial small subunit ribosomal RNA", at positions 30 to 523 of the family's 1533-position model. The record is from RNAcentral.
AUUGAACGCUGGCGGCAUGCCUUACACAUGCAAGUCGAGGGGCAGCACGGACUUCGGUCUGGUGGCGACCGGCAAACGGGUGCGGAACACGUACACAAUCUACCUUUAUCUGGGGUAUAGCCCGAAGAAAUUCGGACUAAUCCCCCAUAAUAUAUUAGAGUGGCAUCGCUUCGAUAUUAAAACUCCGGUGGAUAAAGAUGAGUGUGCGUCCCAUUAGCUAGUUGGUAGGGUAACGGCCUACCAAGGCAACGAUGGGUAGCUGGUGUGAGAGCACGACCAGCCACACGGGCACUGAGACACGGGCCCGACUCCUACGGGAGGCAGCAGUGAGGAAUAUUGGUCAAUGGACGCAAGUCUGAACCAGCCAUGCCGCGUGAAGGAUGAAGGCCUUCUGGGUUGUAAACUUCUUUUAUUGGGGAAGAAAAUUACGGUUUCUACUGUAACCGACGGUACCCAAGGAAUAAGCACCGGCUAACUCCGUGCCAGCAGCCGCAGUAA